Molecule: long non-coding RNA, 1555 nt
Organism: Frankliniella occidentalis (western flower thrips)
Lineage: Eukaryota; Metazoa; Arthropoda; Insecta; Thysanoptera; Thripidae
Exons: 4
Source: RefSeq, a predicted model, not a curated record
GCAAACAGGUCAUAAGAAGCGCGAAUAAUGCGUUUUUCUGCCCGGGCUCAAGCUCCGCUCGGUCCCGGCCCCGCCCGCCGCACUGUGAGAAAAAACAACGGAAAAUCAACGGACAACAGCGGCAAUUAUUUUCCGCUUACAUCCGUACUGGGUACGGUUAAAGAACGGAGGGGUUUCUUCUACGGUUGAGGGAGAAGAAAGGUUAAGGACCUCCAACCUAUCUCGCACCUUGCAGGAUCAUCCAGAGGUUAAAGGCAGCAGCAGCUCCAACAGACAACUAGGUGUUGGUGCCAUCUAGAUUCCAGUUCAAAAAUCUGUCGGGGCAUCCAUAGGGGCCGCUCCAAAGAGCCACAUAUUUAUCAAUUCCGGACCAGACAUCCAGCCACCAACGCCAAUAUCAACACUAUCAACAGCUUGAUGAAUCAGAUACCUGAAGAUUGAACAUAAUCCCUAAACCGACGAAUGACUGUAAUCUUAAACACUGAGUGGUUUCCAAGAGAUGAAAGGUCCGAACCAAUCAUAUCCACUGAUUGGUUUUAAAUUGUUUAUCAUUAAUAUUAUGUCAACAAAAUCUAAAGUGCUCUCUACCUAACUUUUUUCUAAAUUUAAUGUUACAAUGCAAGAACCUUUGCAAAAAUUAAGUUGCUGUACAAUUAUUUCAACCAUUUUCAAUUGUACUAUAGGUAGUUAAAAUUGUCAGAAAGCCUCUUACAUUUGUAAAGUUUUUUAAAUGGUCUUUUCUGUGUGAAACAAGCAUAUAAUCUUUUAUUAUGACAGAUCAUAUGUCUCCAGUACUCAUUAGGUAUCUAAAAUGAAGUUUGUAUAAUUUAUUUUCAGACCAAAAGGCUAGUAAUGAUUUUGAUUUACUUGUGUCUCUUCAGUGCUUGUUUUGUGGGUUUUAAGUGUGUUUACUGUGAUAGAAUAGUCAUGUUAUGUCAAUGAUAGGGUUAAAUAGAACUAUCUAGGUCUACUUUGUAUUCAGAUUCUUUGUUUUUAACUUGAAAAUUGCACUUUGUAAGUUAACUCUGAACGCGUGAAGAUCUGUUUGGAAGAUCUGGACUUUUCAUAUCUAUCUAUUAUUUCUGUUGUUGGUACUAGCUUGAGGAAUGCCAUGUCUGUCUCCCCUGAUCUGCUGUGAUGACAGGUCACACUGUAUUUUGUAAAAAAUACAUGCAUGUAGGCAAGAACUCCAUCAUAGCUCGCUUUAAGUAAUUCUGUGUACGCAAAUGAGAAAACUAUUGAUUUCUCAAUGGGAUGCUCCAAUGGAACAACCUAUACAAAAAUGUAGUUGCUGUUGAAGGGUUUUGGUCUUUUUUCUUAUGUUUUAAAAUAAUUUUGAGUCAGAAUACCCUUUCUCUUAGUAUAUUUUUCUUUAAGUUCUGUUCUGUGUUAGACAUGCACAUAGUCUUUUAUUAUGACACAUCAUAUGUCUCCAGUACUCAUUAGGUAUCUAAAAUUAAGUUUGUAUAAUUUAUUUUCAGACCGAAAGGCUAGUAAUGAUUUUGAUUUACUUGUGUCUCUUCAGUGCUUGUUUUGUGGGUUUUAAGUGUGUUUA